AUGUGCAUCGCGGCGUGGACAUGGCAGGAUCACCAGGCGUACGGCCUGCUCCUCCUCUUCAACCGCGACGAGUACCACUCCAGGCCGACGCGGCCAGCGCAGUGGUGGGCCGCCGCGGGGGAGGGCGAGGAGAUCCUCGGGGGCAAGGACGAGCUAGGCGGGGGCACGUGGCUGGGGUGCCCGAAGGGAGGGAAGUUGGCCUUCCUGACCAACGUCCGGGAGCCCAGCCCCCGGGUUGGGGCGAGGUCCAGAGGGGAGCUUCCCGUCAGGUUUCUCCAGGGCAGGCAGGGUCCAUUGGAGUAUGCAACUGAAAUUGCAAAGGAAGCAGAUCAGUACAAUGGUUUUAAUCUUGUAUUGGCCGAUGUGCGUUCAGGAACCAUGGUGUACAUCUCUAAUAAGCCAGGUGACCCUCCUGUGGUUCAAACAGUUUCUCCUGGGUGUCAUGUGCUUUCUAAUGCUGCUAUUGACUCCCCUUGGCCAAAGGUGUUGCGCUUGGGACAGAACUUCAACAGAUUUCUUGCAGCACAUGAUGACGCAGAAGUCUCUUUGAAGCAGAUGGUUGAAGAACUGAUGACAGAUACGGCCAAGACUGACAGAUCUGCGGUGCCUGACACUGGCGUGGAUCCUGACUGGGAAUACCAGUUGAGCUCUAUAUUCAUCGACACGAAAAAGGGACAGGCAAGAUACGGGACACGAAGCAUGGCGGCCAUUGGGGUGAAACUGGAUGGUGAGGUAACUUUCUACGAGAGGUCCCUGGCCAGCAGCUUGUGGAAUGAGAAUGUAGUACAGUUUGAAAUGGAGAUGGCACAAUAG
RNAcentral lists this ribosomal RNA (813 nucleotides) under Triticum aestivum (bread wheat). RNAcentral describes it as "partial small subunit ribosomal RNA". The record is from RNAcentral. Lineage: Eukaryota; Viridiplantae; Streptophyta; Magnoliopsida; Poales; Poaceae.